GCAAUACAAUAAGCGGAGGAAAAGAAACUAACAAGGAUUCCCCUAGUAGCGGCGAGCGAAGCGGGAAGAGCUCAAAUUUAUAAUCUGGCACCUUCGGUGUCCGAGUUGUAAUCUCUAGAAGUGUUUUCCGCGUUGGACCGCACACAAGUCUGUUGGAAUACAGCGGCAUAGUGGUGAAACCCCCGUAUAUGGUGCGGACGCCCAGCGCUUUGUGAUACACUUUCAAUGAGUCGAGUUGUUUGGGAAUGCAGCUCAAAUUGGGUGGUAAAUUCCAUCUAAAGCUAAAUAUUGGCGAGAGACCGAUAGCGAACAAGUACCGUGAGGGAAAGAUGAAAAGCACUUUGGAAAGAGAGUUAACAGUACGUGAAAUUGUUGGAAGGGAAACGCUUGAAGUCAGACUUGCUUGCCGGAGCUUGCUUCGGUUUGCAGGCCAGCAUCAGUUUUCCGGGGUGGAUAAUGACGGUUUGAAGGUAGCAGUCUCGGCUGUGUUAUAGCUUUCCGUUGGAUACAUCCUGGGGGACUGAGGAACGCAGCGUGCUUUUUGCGAAAGACUCGUCUUUUUCACGCUUAGGAUGCUGGUGGAAUGGCUUUAAACGACCCGUCUUGAAACACGGACC
RNAcentral lists this ribosomal RNA (617 nucleotides) under Rhodotorula graminis. RNAcentral's name for it is "eukaryotic LSU rRNA". It matches the Rfam family "Eukaryotic large subunit ribosomal RNA", at positions 38 to 667 of the family's 3401-position model. Lineage: Eukaryota; Fungi; Basidiomycota; Microbotryomycetes; Sporidiobolales; Sporidiobolaceae. The record is from RNAcentral.